RNAcentral lists this ribosomal RNA (491 nucleotides) under uncultured bacterium. Its description in RNAcentral is "partial 16S ribosomal RNA". It matches the Rfam family "Bacterial small subunit ribosomal RNA", at positions 29 to 507 of the family's 1533-position model. The record is from RNAcentral.
GUGAACGCUGGCGGUAGGCCUAACACAUGCAGGUCGAACGGCAGCACCGUAAGAGCUUGCUCUUACGGGUGGCGAGUGGCGGACGGGUGAGGAAUACAUCGGAAUCUACUUUUUCGUGGGGGAUAACGUAGGGAAACUUACGCUAAUACCGCAUACGACCUACGGGUGAAAGCAGGGGAUCUUCGGACCUUGCGCGAUUGAAUGAGCCGAUGUCGGAUUAGCUAGUUGGCGGGGUAAAGGCCCACCAAGGCGACGAUCCGUAGCUGGUCUGAGAGGAUGAUCAGCCAAACUGGAACUGAGACACGGUCCAGACUCCUACGGGAGGCAGCAGUGGGGAAUAUUGGACCAUGGGCGCAAGCCUGAUCCAGCCAUACCGCGUGGGUGAAGAAGGCCUUCGGGUUUUAAAGCCCUUUUGUUGGGAAAGAAAAGCAGCAGGUUAAUACCCCGCUGUUCUGACGGUACCCAAAGAAUAAGCACCGGCUAACUUCGUG